UGUCAUUCAAGGCAGAAGAAACAAUCUUUUCUUUGGCUUUUCAAAUGUAUUCACUAAGGGUUUCCUGCUCUGUGUUAAAAAAUGUUUGGGUAUCUUCAGGUCAGACUUUGACCUAAAUAAAGUUUCAUUGUCUCUAUGAAUUGCUUAGAUUUGGGAGCAACUGUUAUGGAAAAAUAACCAUAAACCUUUUUCUUCUAAAGUGAGGGCUCCGUCUGGGUUGACCAUAACCUAUUGCAAAAGUUAGAAGUCCUUGAGGUGAUGGGUUAGUGUCAAAUGUCUGCUUGGGUCUCUUCCAGGAUUGAACAGCGACUGGAGGAUCAGGGAAGAGUUCUUUGGUGGAAGCUCAGUUAAGAGCAGACUGAGGUGAAUGAAGGUGCAAGCAAACCAAAACCCCGAACAAGCCAUCUGUUCCCAGUGGAAACAGGACUGAGCUGCUGCGACCCCUGAAAUGGUCUCCCUGCGACCACCCGGGACACACCGAGCCUGCGCUGAACCAGGGCACGAUCGGACAGAGACUUUGGGACCUGGACUGCAAAUUACUGCUGCUUAGCACAACUUUUAUAAAACUUGCUUAGCAUGAGUAGCUAAAUUUGCUGAAGCCUUAGGCCGCACUCCCUAGUUCAGAGAGAAAGGGCCCCAGAGCUGGUGCAGACUGGAAAGAUAAGGGAGUUACAAGCAGUUUGCAUUCCUGUGCUUCACACUCCGGGAGGGAGGAUGUCAAGGCUUUGAAAUAAGGCCUGCUUGGGCGCCAGGACCCUGGGAAACAAAGCCUCCCCUCACUGCUGAAACAGUGUUAAUUAGGGGGGGGUCUGGAUUAUAUCCUCUUCGUCGGGACCUUGGAAGAUAACAGCUACUGUCACUGCUGGGGCAGUGCUAAUUGCUGGAACAACACCUGUUUGUCAGGGCCCUGAGAAAGAAGGGCAGAACCAGAGGAAUCAAAACACAUUUGUCAGCAGAAACCGCAACAGUAAAGAUAAGGGAGAAAAGCAGCCUGCCUGGGAACAACGAUGAGACCCAAUAGGGAGCAGGAGACCCCAGACCCAAAAAUUACUAUUGGUCUGAACUACCGCGUGAGGGGUGGGAAACUUAAUUUGAAAAAGCUAUAAUUGCCCAGGGAUUUCUUUGUUCGGGGUCCCUCUUUGGAGGCACCCAACUCGAGCUGUAACUACUGCAUGCGUGUCAUUACAAUUUAUUUAUUUAAUUUGCCUUGAUUUGGCUCCAAACUUUUCAGCGGGAACCUAGGGUCGGACCCUGCUCGAGUUGUAAUUACCGCACGCGCAUCGCUAAAAUUUACACCCAGGGGACCAACGGGACGCCGCUGGAUCCACGGGUGGUGAUAUCUCUUUCUCUCUCCCCCUUUUCUCUCUCUCUCUUUCUCUCUCUCCUCCCCUUUGCCUUUCCCCACCUUUUCUCCCCACUCCGUGGAAAAUAAAGUUAAAAGGUUAUACGAUA
Molecule: long non-coding RNA, 1452 nt
Organism: Dromaius novaehollandiae (emu)
Lineage: Eukaryota; Metazoa; Chordata; Aves; Casuariiformes; Dromaiidae
Exons: 2
Source: RefSeq, a predicted model, not a curated record